Molecule: ribosomal RNA, 438 nt
Filed under: Coniochaeta verticillata
Lineage: Eukaryota; Fungi; Ascomycota; Sordariomycetes; Coniochaetales; Coniochaetaceae
Description: SSU rRNA
Rfam family: Eukaryotic small subunit ribosomal RNA
Source: RNAcentral
CUCAUUAAAUCAGUUAUCGUUUAUUUGAUAGUACCUUACUACAUGGAUAACCGUGGUAAUUCUAGAGCUAAUACAUGCUAAAAAUCCCGACUUCGGAAGGGAUGUAUUUAUUAGAUUAAAAACCAAUGCCCUUUGGGGCUCUCUGGUGAUUCAUAAUAACUUCUCGAAUCGCACGGCCUUGCGCCGGCGAUGGUUCAUUCAAAUUUCUGCCCUAUCAACUUUCGACGGCUGGGUCUUGGCCAGCCAUGGUGACAACGGGUAACGGAGGGUUAGGGCUCGACCCCGGAGAAGGAGCCUGAGAAACGGCUACUACAUCCAAGGAAGGCAGCAGGCGCGCAAAUUACCCAAUCCCGACUCGGGGAGGUAGUGACAAUAAAUACUGAUACAGGGCUCUUUUGGGUCUUGUAAUUGGAAUGAGUACAAUUUAAAUCCCUUAAC